Molecule: unclassified non-coding RNA, 2258 nt
Filed under: Hevea brasiliensis (rubber tree)
Lineage: Eukaryota; Viridiplantae; Streptophyta; Magnoliopsida; Malpighiales; Euphorbiaceae
Source: RNAcentral
GGAUGACCCAUCAUAGCAACAAUACCACUAUUAUUAACAGCACUAGCUGUAUUUACACUUCAAAAUCUCUGUUUCCUAUCUCUCCCACUGCGAAGUCCCCGCUGAGCAGACCGUCAAUCAGUUUCAAGAGGCCUUCCUUCACGUUCCUUACUCGCUUGCCGUCUGAAUUCGGGGGCAGUCCCUUGGUGAGGAUGGAAGACCCGUUCACUGCUUCCUUGUCGUCUGUUAGUCCAAGGAAGAACUUGACGACAUGCAAUCACUUGCGCCAUGUGGAAUCCAUGGCCCACUUGCCUUCCGGAGCCGACAGGAUAACCAGAUUGAAUGCUCUUAUCUUAGGUGAUGCACUUGCUUCCGAGGAGGAUGAUCUCAUCUUUCCCAGCGAAGUUUUCUCUAGCCAGGCUCAUGUUUCUUCUUCUCAGAAGUAUUUGGAGAUGUAUCAAAGGUCGGUCCACGAUCCCUCAGGAUUCUGGUCUGAUAUUGCAUCAGAAUUUUACUGGAGAGAGAAAUGGGGCCAGCAGGUUUACUGUGAGAAUUUUGAUGUUCGAAAGGGGAAAAUCAAGAUCGAGUGGUUCAAGGGUGGAAUGACAAAUAUCUGCUACAACUGCUUGGAUAGAAACAUCGAGUCUGGAAAGGGUGACAAAACAGCAAUUUACUGGGAAGGAAACGAACCUGGUCUUGAUAGUUCUAUGACGUACAAUCAACUCUUGGCUAGAGUUUGCCAGCUAGCAAAUUAUUUGAAAGAUGUUGGAGUUCACAAGGGUGAUGCAGUUGUCAUCUACUUACCCAUGCUUAUGGAGCUACCAAUUGCAAUGCUUGCUUGUGCUCGUAUUGGUGCCAUUCACUCGGUUGUGUUUGCUGGUUUCUCAGCUGAAUCUCUUGCUCAAAGGAUCAUAGAUUGCAGACCAAAGGUUGUCAUAACAUGCAAUGCUGUUAGGAGGGGGUCCAAGAUUAUUUAUCUCAAAGAAAUUGUUGAUAGUGCCCUUCUAGAAUCUGCUCAAAAGGGCAUCGUUACAGAUGUGUGUUUGACAUAUGAAAAUGAAUCAGCAAUGAAAAAGGAAAUGACUAAAUGGACCAAGGGGCGAGACAUUUGGUGGCAGGAUGUUAUUUUGAAAUAUCCAGUAACAUGUGAUGUGGAGUGGGUUGAUGCGGAAGAUCCCCUUUUUCUGCUCUACACUAGUGGGAGUACCGGAAAGCCUAAGGGUGUCUUGCAUACAACGGGAGGAUAUAUGGUGUACACUGCUACUACAUUCAAGUAUGCAUUUGACUACAAGCCGACAGACAUAUAUUGGUGUACAGCUGACUGUGGUUGGAUUACUGGGCAUAGUUAUGUAACCUAUGGACCUUUGCUAAAUGGAGCAACCGUUGUUGUUUUUGAAGGGGCCCCAAACUAUCCUGAUGUCGGGCGUUGUUGGGAUAUUGUUGAUAAGUAUAAGGUUUCAAUAUUUUAUACAGCUCCAACACUGGUGAGAUCUCUGAUGCGUGAGGGAGAUGAGCAUGUCUCUCGAUAUUCACGCAAAUCUUUACGGGUGCUUGGAAGUGUGGGUGAGCCUAUCAAUCCAAGUGCAUGGAGGUGGUUUUUCAAUGUGAUAGGUGAUGCAAGGUGCCCCAUAUCUGAUACAUGGUGGCAAACAGAAACCGGUGGUUUCAUGAUUACUCCUUUACCAGGAGCGUGGCCGCAGAAACCUGGUUCUGCUACUCUUCCUUUCUUUGGAGUCCAGCCAGUAAUAGUGGAUGAGAAAGGUGUUGAGAUUGAAGGUGAGUGCAGUGGGUAUCUGUGUGUGAAAAGCUCGUGGCCUGGGGCAUUCCGAACACUUCAUGGGGAUCAUGAGAGAUAUGAAACCACAUAUUUUAGUACCUUCCCUGGAUAUUAUUUCAGUGGUGAUGGCUGCAGCAGGGACAAAGAUGGUUACUACUGGCUCACUGGAAGAGUAGAUGAUGUGAUUAAUGUGAGUGGACAUCGUAUUGGCACAGCCGAAGUGGAAUCUGCUCUAGUUUCACAUCCUCAGUGUGCUGAAGCUGCUGUGGUUGGUGUGGAGCAUGAGGUUAAAGGACAGGGAAUAUAUGCAUUUGUUACUAUAGUCGAAGGUGUUCCAUACAGCGAUGACCUGCGAAAAAGUCUUGUGAUGGUUGUUAGGAAUCAGAUUGGGGCUUUUGCAGCGCCAGACAAGAUACAUUGGGCACCAGGUCUUCCAAAGACGAGAAGUGGGAAAAUAAUGAGAAGAAUUCUGAGGAAAAUUGCUUCCAGGCAGUUAGAUGAG